Molecule: non-coding RNA, 239 nt
Organism: Pelobates cultripes (western spadefoot toad)
Lineage: Eukaryota; Metazoa; Chordata; Amphibia; Anura; Pelobatidae
Source: the annotation of a GenBank genome assembly
AUAUCAUUUUAUUCAGGGGAAACAGGGCUUUCAUUUAAUAUCAAAUAUUUAGCUAUGAAACAUAAUUUAAUAUGAAAAAAAUGGGAGAAAAUACGAUUUUUUUGGAUUUUUUUUAGUUCUACAUGACAUUUUAACGGUCAGUGUCAUAAUACUGUUUGCUUUUACUGCAAUAAAAUACACAUAUUUGUAUUCAGCAAAGUCUCACGUGUAAAACAGUACCCCCUAUGUACAGGUUUUAU